AUGUUCGCGCACGGCUCUCUCGCGAGGUUUAGCCAGCUUGCUCGAAGGCCCCUGCGCGCCGCUGGCUCCCCGCUCCGCUGCUGCCUUCAGGGAUCAGUUGGUCCAAAUAAUUUGCCCUCCUCUGCCAUGGAACAGGGGCAGGGAGCUACAAACAAUGCGCCGAAACAUAGGAAAACAGAUUCACCUGUGCAGAGAUGGAGGCCAGUCUCAACACAAGCAUCUUCCCCAAAAGCUCACCUUGAUGACCUAUCCAAUUCCGCAAGGAAGCAAACGGUGGGGACUUCCAUCAGUGAUAGUGAGAAUUUGGCAUCGGAUGAAAACACUAUGGAGGUAAUGGGAGAAAAAUAUCCCUCUUCUGUUGAGGUAGAUGUUCCUCUAAUGCGUUUUCUCAAAGGAAAAGGUGGAUCUGUGCAGAAGCAGAUUGAACAGGAGACUGGAGUUAAAAUCAUUUUCCCAUCUGCAAAGGAGGAAACACUUGUUGCCCUCGAAGGCAAAAGUGCUGAAAGUAUUAGAAAAGCAUCAGAGAGGAUUUCAAAGAUCCUUGAAGAGGCUGUUCAAAGUCCAAUGCUAGAUUACUCGCAUUUCAUAUCACUUCCGUUGGCCAUCCACCCGGCUCUUGUCGAGAAGCUAAAUAACUUCCAGAGGUCGAUCCUCGGGGCGUCUGCAUCUAAUGUGGAUAGUGAUAAGGAUGAAAGCCUAAGCGAAGGUUCUAUGGAAGAAAUUGAUGAAGCAGCGAACCCUAGUGUUUCAGUCAAGCUGCCAGUCAAAGAAGAAAUUUCUGUCAUAGUGAAAAUGGAUAAUAAGGGCUCCCAACCAGAGUUCGGCAUUGACAAGUCGAUAUUCAUAAAACCCAAAACGUUUCACCUAACGGUUCUUAUGUUGAAGUUGUGGAACAAGGAUCGUAUUGCUCAGGCUUCUGAAGUCCUCCAGUCAAUAUCUUCCCAGGUAAAUGAAGCUUUGGAAAACCGACCUAUCUCUAUACGACUUAAGGGUCUGACAUGCAUGAAAGGCUCACCAGCUAGGGCCCGUGUUGUAUAUGCUCCAGUACUUGAAAUUGGUGGAGAAGGGCGCCUUGUUCGAGCUUGCAAGGUAAUAACUGACGCCUUCGUCAAGUCAGGCCUGGUUCUUGAAAGGGAUGCCAAACAAGAAUUGAGGUUGCAUGCAACCAUAAUGAAUGUGCGCCACAGGAAGAGCAAGAAAUCGAACCGAAGAAACGAUUCGUUCGAUGCUCGGGCUAUAUUCAGACAAUACGGGGAACAGGAUUGGGGCGAGUACCCAGUACCGGCAGUGCACCUAUCGCAGAGGUUCAAGUUCGACGAGGGUGGAUACUACCAUUGCUGCUGCUCGAUUCCCUUGCCUGAGGUGGCUCAGACGGAGUGA
Molecule: ribosomal RNA, 1380 nt
Filed under: Triticum aestivum (bread wheat)
Lineage: Eukaryota; Viridiplantae; Streptophyta; Magnoliopsida; Poales; Poaceae
Description: partial small subunit ribosomal RNA
Source: RNAcentral